GACGAACGCUGGCGGCGUGCUUAACACAUGCAAGUCGAGCGGUGAACCACUUCGGUGGGGAUCAGCGGCGAACGGGUGAGUAACACGUGGGCAACCUGCCCCUAGCACUGGGAAUAACCCCGGGAAACCGGGGCUAAUACCGGAUAUGACUUCGAAUGGCAUCACUCGAAGUGGAAAGAUUUAUCGGCUAGGGAUGGGGCCCGCGGCCUAGUCAGCUUGUUGGUGGGGUAAUGGCCUACCAAGGCGACGACGGGUAGCCGGCCUGAGAGGGCGACCGGCCACACUGGGACUGAGACACGGCCCAGACUCC
Molecule: ribosomal RNA, 310 nt
Filed under: uncultured bacterium
Lineage: Bacteria
Description: bacterial SSU rRNA
Rfam family: Bacterial small subunit ribosomal RNA
Source: RNAcentral